UGGGGAAUUUUCCGCAAUGGGCGAAAGCCUGACGCAGCAACGCCGCGUGCGGGAAGAAGGCUUUCGGGCUGUAAACCGCUUUCAGCAGGAACGAAAAUGACGGUACCUGCAGAAGAAGGAGCGGCCAACUAUGUGCCAGCAGCCGCGGUGAUACGUAGGCUCCAAGCGUUGUCCGGAUUUAUUGGGCGUAAAGAGCUCGUAGGCGGUUGAGUAAGUCGGGUGUGAAAACUCUGGGCUUAACCCGGAGACGCCAUCCGAUACUGCUCUGACUAGAGUUCAGGAGGGGAGUGGGGAAUUCCUAGUGUAGCGGUGAAAUGCGCAGAUAUUAGGAGGAACACCGGUGGCGAAGGCGCCACUCUGGACUGAAACUGACGCUGAGGAGCGAAAGCAUGGGUAGCAAACAGGAUUAGAUACCCUGGUAGUCCAUGCCGUAAACGGUGGGCACUAGGUGUGGGUUCCAACUAACGGGAUCCGCGCCGUCGCUAACGCAUUAAGUGCCCCGCCUGGGGAGUACGGUCGCAAGACUAAAACUCAAAGGAAUUGACGG
Molecule: ribosomal RNA, 547 nt
Filed under: uncultured bacterium
Lineage: Bacteria
Description: bacterial SSU rRNA
Rfam family: Bacterial small subunit ribosomal RNA
Source: RNAcentral